GAUGAACGCUGGCGGCGUGCCUAAUACAUGCAAGUCGAGCGAACAGACCAGGAGUUUGCUCCUCUGAUGUUAGCGGCGGACGGGAGCGUAACAUGUGUAUAACCUACCUAUAAGACAGGGAUAACUUUGGGAAACCGGAUCUUAUACCGGAUGAUCUUUUGCACCGCAUGGUUCAAUCGUUAAAUACGGUAUUUGUGUCACUAAUAGCUUGAUCCGCGCUGCAUUGGAUGGUUGGUAAGGUAAAGGCUUAUCAAGGCAAGGAUGUGUAAACGACCGGACGGGGUGGACGGCCACACGGGAACUGAGGCACGGUCGUGACGCCUGCGGGAAGACGCAGUAGGGAAUCUUCCGCAAGGGGGGAGAGGCUGACGUAGCAACGUGGCGUGAGUGCUGAAGGUCUUCUGAUCGUAAAACUCUGUUAUUAGGGAAGAACAAAUGUGUAAGUAACUGUGAACAUCUUGACGGUACCUAGUCAGAAAGCCACGGCUAACUACGUG
This 497-nucleotide ribosomal RNA is filed under the name uncultured bacterium. RNAcentral describes it as "partial 16S ribosomal RNA". It matches the Rfam family "Bacterial small subunit ribosomal RNA", at positions 28 to 507 of the family's 1533-position model. The record is from RNAcentral.